This is a long non-coding RNA of Lagopus muta (rock ptarmigan), 1484 nucleotides long. RefSeq lists it as uncharacterized. The record is from RefSeq and is a predicted model, not a curated record. Lineage: Eukaryota; Metazoa; Chordata; Aves; Galliformes; Phasianidae. The transcript has 3 exons.
AGUCUGUCUGUCCAAGCAUCUCUUUUCUUUACAGCUCUGAAAUCAGCCACAGCUUCCUCAACUACCUGGAAGACGCCUUCCUAUGAGCAGCAGCCUUCUUUCCAGGGCCUCAAAGUUCCCACUUGUUACUCACUUGUGUUUCACACUCUUUUUCUGUUUUCUCCUCAAGUCUAAGCUCUGAGUGGUUGCGUGCUCUGAACUACAGUAUUUCUUUUGUGAGUCCAAGCAUCUACAAACAGCUUUACUCCAACACAGGUGAGACCUAAGGAAAAAAGAAGAGAAUGUUCCCUCAUCAGUAGAACAAGCUGGAGAAUGAGCCUCACCUCCACGUGUCUGCUUUGCUGUCUGCAGCAUUUGGGUGAGGCAGGUGAUAGCCUGGCCAUUUUCUUUCAGUCUUACUGUAUUCUUGAAAAUAAAAGAAAAAUUCUGACACUAUGGAAGGGAUGAACAUCUCAAAGAGAUUAGGUUUUUUUACUGGGAAAGAAUAGUUAAAUUAUUUUUGGAUUUUUGGAAUAAUACAGGCCCCUUCUGUAAACUUCUUUUUAUCUCCACAAAACAUCAGAAAUUCAUUUCUCUGUAUUUCUAAACAUUCCACUUCAUCUGUGACUCUGAUGUUAGUUUUAUGUAAGUAAAUUUAUAACGCAGUAGUGGAGUGAAGAAGUGAAGAUUUUCUUUUCCUCACUUCUACAAGGGUGAUCCCAGUUUCAAACCUCAGUAAAUAUUUGUCUGCUCUUAGUUCAUACAAUCAAAACAUAUGUUCAGAAUGAUUAAGAUGUGAUUGAUUUAGUAAAAAGCUAGCUAAAAUUUUUUGCAGCAAGCCUGUAAGUUACUGAGAACCUGUGACUUCAUUAUUUAAUGCUCCAACAACUGAGAGGAGUGUUUUACAGUAUUUUUAUAACCUCAUGUAGACUUGCUUAGUGAUACCAUUGACUUCUCGCAAAGCUCUUUAGGCGUAUAUGAGCCUUUAGCAUGUAAUAAAAUGAAACUAAUUCCUUCACUGAUUUUAUUUGUUCUUUUUCUUUCCUUGUUCUCUCCUUCAUUCUUUCGUGGGUUUUUUUUGUUUUUCUAUAGAAGUUUUCAUACUCGGCAUCUUAGAUUUUUUUUUGGUUCCAGUUUUCAGUCUCAGUUGGGAGGGCAUUUCCAACAGGAUUACUGAAAGAAAGAAUAGUAGGAAAUCUUAAUCAACUUAACCAUACUAUUUUUGUGCUAAUGAAGUAGCUGGAAUGACAGGAGGAACUCAGCAGGAAGAGAACAAUAGCAUGUUUACGCAAUACUGAAGUUUGGAAUGCUAUGCAGUGGAAAUGAGAAGACAGGUCUUCUGUUCUGGAAGAAUAUUUGCAAUAAAAUAACAACCUAAAGAAGGAAGUCAUAUCUCAAGUAACGGUACAUGAUAUCCUGUGUGAAUAAGGAAAUUAUUUGAAGCACUGCAUGAUAAACUUGGCCUUUUAUGUGCAGUCUUCAGCAUCCGCUGUUGACUAUUACUC